Molecule: ribosomal RNA, 317 nt
Filed under: Mycosphaerella pyri
Lineage: Eukaryota; Fungi; Ascomycota; Dothideomycetes; Mycosphaerellales; Mycosphaerellaceae
Description: eukaryotic LSU rRNA
Rfam family: Eukaryotic large subunit ribosomal RNA
Source: RNAcentral
AGACCGAUAGCGAACAAGUAGAGUGAUCGAAAGAUGAAAAGCACUUUGGAAAGAGAGUUAAAAAGCACGUGAAAUUGUUGAAAGGGAAGCGCCCGCAACCAGACUUUGCGGCGGUGUUCGGCCGGUCUUCUGACCGGUUUACUCGCCGCCGUGAGGCCAUCAUCGUCUGGGACCGCCGGAUAAGACUCGAGGAAUGUGGCUCCCCUCGGGGAGUGUUAUAGCCUCGGGUGAUGCGGCGCGUCUCGGGCGAGGUCCGCGCUUCGGCAAGGAUGAUGGCGUAAUGGUUGUCGGCGGCCCGUCUUGAAACACGGACCAAG